RNAcentral lists this ribosomal RNA (764 nucleotides) under uncultured Streptococcus sp. Its description in RNAcentral is "bacterial SSU rRNA". It matches the Rfam family "Bacterial small subunit ribosomal RNA", at positions 28 to 776 of the family's 1533-position model. Lineage: Bacteria; Bacillati; Bacillota; Bacilli; Lactobacillales; Streptococcaceae. The record is from RNAcentral.
GACGAACGCUGGCGGCGUGCCUAAUACAUGCAAGUAGAACGCUGAAGGAGGAGCUUGCUUCUCUGGAUGAGUUGCGAACGGGUGAGUAACGCGUAGGUAACCUGCCUGGUAGCGGGGGAUAACUAUUGGAAACGAUAGCUAAUACCGCAUAAGAGUAGAUGUUGCAUGACAUUUACUUAAAAGGUGCAAUUGCAUCACUACCAGAUGGACCUGCGUUGUAUUAGCUAGUUGGUGGGGUAACGGCUCACCAAGGCGACGAUACAUAGCCGACCUGAGAGGGUGAUCGGCCACACUGGGACUGAGACACGGCCCAGACUCCUACGGGAGGCAGCAGUAGGGAAUCUUCGGCAAUGGACGGAAGUCUGACCGAGCAACGCCGCGUGAGUGAAGAAGGUUUUCGGAUCGUAAAGCUCUGUUGUAAGAGAAGAACGAGUGUGAGAGUGGAAAGUUCACACUGUGACGGUAUCUUACCAGAAAGGGACGGCUAACUACGCGCCAGCAGCCGCGGUAAUACGUAGGUCCCGAGCGUUGUCCGGAUUUAUUGGGCGUAAAGCGAGCGCAGGCGGUUAGAUAAGUCUGAAGUUAAAGGCUGUGGCUUAACCAUAGUACGCUUUGGAAACUGUUUAACUUGAGUGCAAGAGGGGAGAGUGGAAUUCCAUGUGUAGCGGGUGAAAUGCGUAGAUAUAUGGAGGAACACCGGUGGCGAAAGCGUGUCUUGGGCUUGUAAUUGACGCUGAGGUUCUAAAGUGUGGUGGAGCAACAGG